RNAcentral lists this ribosomal RNA (191 nucleotides) under Priestia megaterium. Its description in RNAcentral is "Bacillus megaterium partial 16S ribosomal RNA". It matches the Rfam family "Bacterial small subunit ribosomal RNA", at positions 1 to 186 of the family's 1533-position model. Lineage: Bacteria; Bacillati; Bacillota; Bacilli; Caryophanales; Bacillaceae. The record is from RNAcentral.
UCUUCGGAGAGUUUGAUCCUGGCUCAGGAUGAACGCUGGCGGCGUGCCUAAUACAUGCAAGUCGAGCGAACUGAUUAGAAGCUUGCUUCUAUGACGUUAGCGGCGGACGGGUGAGUAACACGUGGGCAACCUGCCUGUAAGACUGGGAUAACUUCGGGAAACCGAAGCUAAUACCGGAUAGGAUCUUCUCC